UUUAAAGAGAGUUUGAUCCUGGCUCAGGACGAACGCUGGCGGCGUGCCUAAUACAUGCAAGUCGAACGAACGGAGGAAGAGCUUGCUCUUCCAAAGUUAGUGGCGGACGGGUGAGUAACACGUGGGCAACCUGCCUGUAAGUUGGGGAUAACUCCGGGAAACCGGGGCUAAUACCGAAUGAUAGAAUGUGGCGCAUGCCACGCUUUUGAAAGAUGGUUUCGGCUAU
This 226-nucleotide ribosomal RNA is filed under the name Listeria monocytogenes. Its description in RNAcentral is "partial 16S ribosomal RNA". It matches the Rfam family "Bacterial small subunit ribosomal RNA", at positions 1 to 221 of the family's 1533-position model. Lineage: Bacteria; Bacillati; Bacillota; Bacilli; Caryophanales; Listeriaceae. The record is from RNAcentral.